RNAcentral lists this ribosomal RNA (758 nucleotides) under uncultured bacterium. RNAcentral's name for it is "bacterial SSU rRNA". It matches the Rfam family "Bacterial small subunit ribosomal RNA", at positions 60 to 806 of the family's 1533-position model. The record is from RNAcentral.
AGUCGAGGGGCAGCAUUUCAGUUUGCUUGCAAACUGGAGAUGGCGACCGGCGCACGGGUGAGUAACACGUAUCCAACCUGCCGAUAACUCGGGGAUAGCCUUUCGAAAGAAAGAUUAAUACCCGAUGGUAUAAUCAGACCGCAUGGUCUUGUUAUUAAAGAAUUUCGGUUAUCGAUGGGGAUGCGUUCCAUUAGGCAGUUGGUGAGGUAACGGCUCACCAAACCUUCGAUGGAUAGGGGUUCUGAGAGGAAGGUCCCCCACAUUGGAACUGAGACACGGUCCAAACUCCUACGGGAGGCAGCAGUGAGGAAUAUUGGUCAAUGGGCGCAGGCCUGAACCAGCCAAGUAGCGUGAAGGAUGACUGCCCUAUGGGUUGUAAACUUCUUUUAUAUGGGAAUAAAGUUUUCCACGUGUGGAAUUUUGUAUGUACCAUAUGAAUAAGGAUCGGCUAACUCCGUGCCAGCAGCCGCGGUAAUACGGAGGAUCCGAGCGUUAUCCGGAUUUAUUGGGUUUAAAGGGAGCGUAGGUGGACAGUUAAGUCAGUUGUGAAAGUUUGCGGCUCAACCGUAAAAUUGCAGUUGAUACUGGCUGUCUUGAGUACAGUAGAGGUGGGCGGAAUUCGUGGUGUAGCGGUGAAAUGCUUAGAUAUCACGAAGAACUCCGAUUGCGAAGGCAGCUCACUGGACUGCAACUGACACUGAUGCUCGAAAGUGUGGGUAUCAAACAGGAUUAGAUACCCUGGUAGUCCACACAGUAAA